GUCACGGAGGGACGGGCAGUCUCCUGUGCUGUUAUGCUGUGAUAAUGAUCCAGCAAUACGGUUCAGUCAAAAAUCAGGGUGGAAACUCCAGUCCAGCUGUGGUAGGUAAGGUUUUGGAACGUUGGUUCAGACAUAGAGAAGCAAUCGGUCUGAGGAGCCUGGCAUCUGACAGAAGCAGGAUGAGUAUCUGUGAGUGGACAAGGGACUUCCCACAUUCUCGUAAGCAGUAAGAGUAGCAGUUCGUAUUUUCAUAAUUCAAAUACAUUGGAUGCAUACAGUA
RNAcentral lists this long non-coding RNA (280 nucleotides) under Mus musculus (house mouse). RNAcentral describes it as "ilncRNA-EC67". Lineage: Eukaryota; Metazoa; Chordata; Mammalia; Rodentia; Muridae. The record is from RNAcentral.